UAUUAUUUUUGAUGUAAAGUUUAUUUAUACUUGAGUAGUAUUGGUUAUUGUCCUUAAACUUAAAGAAUUUGGCGGUAUUUUAGUCUUUUUAGAGGAAUCUGUCCCUUUAUCGAUAAUCCACGUUGUAACUUUCUUAAUUGUUUGUUUAUAUACCGCCGUUAAAAUUGAGUGUUUUUGUAGAAUUUUAUAAUUUUCUAGUUUUAUUAUUAUAUUUUAUUUCAGGUCAAGGUUUAAUUUUUAAUUAAGUGGAGAUGGAUUACAAUAUAUUUUUAUAUACGGAUUAUUAAUUGUAAAUUUAAUAUGAAGGUGGAUUUAAUAGUAAUUGAUUUUAGAAUAUUUUUUUGAAAUAUAGCUCUAUAAUAUGCACAUAUCGCCCGUCACUCUCGUUAUAAGAU
Molecule: ribosomal RNA, 395 nt
Filed under: Polyphagoides cantrelli
Lineage: Eukaryota; Metazoa; Arthropoda; Insecta; Blattodea; Corydiidae
Description: partial 12S ribosomal RNA
Source: RNAcentral